UGUAAUCUACACCAGAAGAGCUCAUGAAUGUUCAGAGAAUGCUUAAGUGAAAGGGGAAAUCGCCAGCAGGUACCCGUUUCUGUUUUCUUCUUGUUUGUGGGACUACUCUUCCCAUGAGACAGUCACUUGAUUUGAGACCAGCCGAUUGCCUCCAGUGCGUUGUGUUGGUGAGUAGAACAGCAAAUCUUAGAGAGGACAGAUGCAGCACUUAUGAAGAGAGCCUCACUGAGACACUUUAGGUGAAGCAGAAAUAUCUUUGGGUCUCUUAAACACAGCGAGGAGCAGGAAUAAACUCUGAACAGAAGUCUUACUGAACAGCACCACCGACAGUUUGCGCCUGCAUCCACUGGCCAGUUUUAGUGUGCCUCCGUGUUCAUUGUGUGGGGGGCAAAUUUAAAUCUGCCGUAUGGCCCCGCUCAGUUUGAACUCAAUUGAAGCUUGGCCAUGUACAUUUGCUUGACUUUAACCUUUGUUCCAACACAGCUGAUUUAAAUGACCUCAACAUGUCUUGAAGUUCUUCAGAGGCUGGUAAUGAACCAAUCAUCUGACUCAGGUGUGCUGACCCAGGGUGAGAUCUAAAACCUGCAGGACACCAGCUCUCAAGGCCUGGAGGUCCCCACCCCUGGUUUAGACUCUGUGAUGGUACUGACCUGUGACUUUGAGCUUGUAUCCAGGACACCGUACCGGCUCACUCAGUGGAACAGGGAGCUAAUGUGAAUGUUUGUGUCGCCUGCAGGAGAUCCGAGCUAGUAGCAAACACCACUGUCAUAAAGGAAGUAGCUUCAGCAUGGAGAUGGUUGCUGUUCGUUUAUAAGUGAUCAGAUGUUCGGUGAAUCAAACAGCAGGUCUACCUGAGCUGUGGAAGCUUCUGCAACCUUGGCAUGCAUUUGCAGCCGAUGCUACAUUCAAACUAUGAACUGGUUGAAGGAGCAGUACACUCAUUGUUGCUUUCUGUGAGAGAUAUGUGAGAUUCUGGGAACCGGCACAAUACCAGCAGCUGACUUUAAAGUAUUUUGUGUGUACACUUAGAUUCUGCCUUUUGUUGUUUUCUGUGCCAUGAUAUAUACUCACAACGUAGGGCGCACUUUCCCUCCACAGAAAUGUCACGGAGGGCUUUUCCAUUUACCACUACUCUCGUAUAUAUUACUGUGUUUAAGUAUGUGCCGCUGAACCGUUUAUUCCAGUAACACUUAUGGACUUCAGCUCCAUCAGCCUGUGCGAUGAUGAAGCCUUUGGGCAAAAUUAACUGAAGUAUUUGUGUCUUAUUUGUGCAUGACGUAUAACAAAACUACAGAAUUCUUAUUGAUGAAAAUAUAGCGUAAAAUCAAACCCUUACUGACACUGCACUUCACAGCACAACAGGGUUCAGAGUCUGCUGAUAGUUUAAGGUAGGAGAUGCAAAUCUGCUGCUUUUCCUCGUCUUACUGUAAAAUAGGAGAGUCCUCAGAGGAUGCAGCUUUAAAGGGCAUCAUUGGAUCCUUUGGCCAUGCUAUAUUUGUCCAUCACAAUUCAAAUAAUGAUAUGGUAUUUUUUCCUUAAUCUUACAAUCUUAAUCUUGCUUUUUUCCCGUUUUUGGCCACAUAAUGAAACAUUUAAGUGUUUGAAAAUGUUUGAUUUUAUAAUAUUGUUCAAGUAAACAGGUUACACCAAAUCUUUACAAGUCUAUGUGUAUACUUCUUUGUUAUUGUAUUAAUCACUUGCCUGAUGCUGAUCCCUUGUGUCAAC
Molecule: long non-coding RNA, 1725 nt
Organism: Astatotilapia calliptera (eastern happy)
Lineage: Eukaryota; Metazoa; Chordata; Actinopteri; Cichliformes; Cichlidae
Source: Ensembl